Molecule: ribosomal RNA, 486 nt
Filed under: uncultured Mycobacterium sp.
Lineage: Bacteria; Bacillati; Actinomycetota; Actinomycetes; Mycobacteriales; Mycobacteriaceae
Description: bacterial SSU rRNA
Rfam family: Bacterial small subunit ribosomal RNA
Source: RNAcentral
AGUAGUUUGAUCCUGGCUCAGGACGAACGCUGGCGGCGUGCUUAACACAUGCAAGUCGAACGGAAAGGCCCUUUCGGGGGUACUCGAGUGGCGAACGGGUGAGUAACACGUGGGUGAUCUGCCCUGCACUUUGGGAUAAGCCUGGGAAACUGGGUCUAAUACCGGAUAUACCUCAUGGACUGCAUGGUUUGUGGGGGAAAGCUUUUGCGGUGUGGGAUGGGCCCGCGGCCUAUCAGCUUGUUGGUGGGGUGAUGGCCUACCAAGGCGACGACGGGUAGCCGGCCUGAGAGGGUGACCGGCCACACUGGGACUGAGAUACGGCCCAGACUCCUACGGGAGGCAGCAGUGGGGAAUAUUGCACAAUGGGCGCAAGCCUGAUGCAGCGACGCCGCGUGAGGGAUGACGGCCUUCGGGUUGUAAACCUCUUUCAGCAGGGACGAAGCGCAAGUGACGGUACCUGUAGAAGAAGGACCGGCCAACUACGUG